UGCAAAUGAUGUGAACGAAUAUUUGCUAUCUGAAGUACUGGUGCUGACACCAUUCCACCAAGAUCGCUGAUGCA
This is a small nucleolar RNA of Erpetoichthys calabaricus (reedfish), 74 nucleotides long. Its record names the gene SNORD24. It matches the Rfam family "Small nucleolar RNA SNORD24". From Rfam's summary of the family: U24 is a member of the C/D class of snoRNA which contain the C (UGAUGA) and D (CUGA) box motifs. C/D box snoRNAs have been shown to act as methylation guides for a number of RNA targets. U24 is encoded within an intron of the gene for ribosomal protein L7a in mammals, chicken and Fugu. The record is from Ensembl. Lineage: Eukaryota; Metazoa; Chordata; Cladistia; Polypteriformes; Polypteridae.